Molecule: transfer RNA, 73 nt
Filed under: Hevea brasiliensis (rubber tree)
Lineage: Eukaryota; Viridiplantae; Streptophyta; Magnoliopsida; Malpighiales; Euphorbiaceae
Also listed under: 3 other names
Rfam family: tRNA
About the family: Transfer RNA (tRNA) molecules are approximately 80 nucleotides in length.
Source: Rfam by way of RNAcentral
GCGCUCGUGGCCUAAUGGAUAAGGCAUCUGACUUCUAAUCAGAGGAUUGUGGGUUCGAGUCCCACCGAGCGUG